Non-coding RNA from Parelaphostrongylus tenuis, 73 nucleotides. The record is from the annotation of a GenBank genome assembly. NCBI's taxonomy places the organism in Eukaryota, Metazoa, Nematoda, Chromadorea, Rhabditida, Metastrongylidae.
ACAUCAGGUGGUGCAACGGUCAACAUACGCUCCCGGAAAGAGUGAGAUCUGGGCUCAAAUCCCGGCUGACGCA